This 72-nucleotide transfer RNA is filed under the name Camelus ferus (Wild Bactrian camel). It matches the Rfam family "tRNA". Rfam says of the family: Transfer RNA (tRNA) molecules are approximately 80 nucleotides in length. Their secondary structure includes four short double-helical elements and three loops (D, anti-codon, and T loops). Further hydrogen bonds mediate the characteristic L-shaped molecular structure. tRNAs have two regions of fundamental functional importance: the anti-codon, which is responsible for specific mRNA codon recognition, and the 3' end, to which the tRNAs corresponding amino acid is attached (by aminoacyl-tRNA synthetases). tRNAs cope with the degeneracy of the genetic code in two manners: having more than one tRNA (with a specific anti-codon) for a particular amino acid; and 'wobble' base-pairing, i.e. permitting non-standard base-pairing at the 3rd anti-codon position. Lineage: Eukaryota; Metazoa; Chordata; Mammalia; Artiodactyla; Camelidae. The record is from Rfam by way of RNAcentral.
GGAGGCACAGCUCAGGGGCUGAGCACCUGCUUGGCACUCAAGAGGCCCUGGGUUCGAUUCCCAGCACCUCCA